Molecule: unclassified non-coding RNA, 375 nt
Filed under: uncultured Gammaproteobacteria bacterium
Lineage: Bacteria; Pseudomonadati; Pseudomonadota; Gammaproteobacteria
Description: contains 16S-23S intergenic spacer region
Source: RNAcentral
UCCGGUUCAUCACCGGCAGUCUCCUUAGAGUCCCCAACUAAAUGAUGGCAACUAAGGAUAAGGGUUGCGCUCGUUACGGGACUUAACCCAACAUCUCACAACACGAGCUGACGACAGCCAUGCAGCACCUGUCUCUAAGUUCCUUUCGGCACAAAAGCCUCUCAGCCUUCUUCUUAGGAUGUCAAGAGUAGGUAAGGUUCUUCGCGUUGCAUCGAAUUAAACCACAUGCUCCACCGCUUGUGCGGGCCCCCGUCAAUUCCUUUGAGUUUCAACCUUGCGGCCGUACUUCCCAGGCGGAAGACUUAUCGCGUUUGCUUCAAUACUGAUGGGUUCCCCCACCAACAUUUAGUCCUCAUCGUUUACAGCGUGGACUAC